GCCAGCUCCAUGAGGUCUUACUCAUCCAACUCAACUACCACCUGCCUAACCUCCUCUCCCAUCACUCCCCAAACGGGGCCCCUCUGUCUAGCCAGGCUGGUCUGAUUGUCCCAGACACUCUCAGUGCCAACUCGUUGCUGAUGCUGUUCACAGCUCCCCACAGGAAAUGCCUUCUGACCACCACUGUGAAUUCUACUUCUCUAAAAUUCUGCUCAAUCUCACCCUCCUCCGUGAACCCCCUUCUCAUCUAGAGAGUGGUAACAGCAAUGCCUGCUUCACAGAUUCAAUGGGGAUCAUCAAGUUCAGAUGCACAAGUCAGUCUCAGAGCAUGGACCAGCUUGUAGUCCACUGGGUGCUGCCUGCCACUGUUACUGAGCUGUUUGACACCUACGUGUUGCACCUUGGAGAAGUCAGCGUUCUCCUGAAGACCGGAUCCUACUCUGUGCCUCUCACUUCCUGACACAGCGCCAGUCAGAGCAGGUGCUCAAAGGACACUUAUUAAUUUUAGAGAAUGAGUGAAGAAAACAAGACUGAAUAAAUGCUUUUAGGAAACCAGAUUUUGCAUAUUUUAUAUGAAGAAAACACUAAAUGGUAAAUAAGACAAAUUCCUAAUGGUAGAAGGAGAUGGCAUGUAAAUAGCAACAUAAGCAGAGAACAUUGCAAUUUAUUCUCGUGCAGCAUCUUUUAUUCAAAAUAUUACCAGACAUUUGCUGAAAAGAGUCUGUUGUACCAAGGGCAGAUGACUCACUGCAAUAUUUUAGUCACAUUUGAUGAUGGACGUGAGACUCUCCCGAGAUGUCUUUUUACCAGGCUGAGACCCAGCAAAUGAUCAGUAGACAAGAAACCAGUGGUGCGGGAAAUUCACAGUAGAAAACAAGCCUCAGAGUUUAACCAGACAACAUGAUCAAUGCGGAACCGAGGAGAGCCUCUUGUAGCUCAAUGUCCCAGCGACGUGAAGCACUGAUGACCUGGGAUUCCAGGAAGCGGGCUCAGCGAGGCUCGUUCAGUCUCCCAGGGCUUGCUGGAUGACUGCCUUAUUUCUGGGGCACCAGAGGAUUGGAAUUGAUUUAAGUUGUGCUGCUAUUGUUCUGCAAGGAACCUGAGGGGCAAAUUCAUUCUGGAUAAAUCCCCACACAGGCAGCAUCUACACGUCACUAACAAAAGACGUAUUUAGUGUGUUCACCUGGGAAACGAUUAAAGUUUGAAAUAUUUGUAUUCGUCUUGUAAAAGACUGGUCUCGUUAUUCAGUUCUGAAUUCCCUACCACUGAUUGCAAGAAAGCAGUAAUAAGAGAUUAGUUUUCUAACCGCCAAUGCCCCUCCCCUUUCCCACUUCUCCAGAAAUAUUAUUCAACUAAACUACCAUCAGCAGGAAAAUAGAGAAGAGAAGGAACCUUCUGGAAUAUUUUUAUUCAGCAGAGUGAGAUUUAUGCAUGAGAUGCAAAUUACUAUGCAUUAUUUACCCAUCCGAGGAGAAACAAAUCUUGAAUGUAA
RNAcentral lists this long non-coding RNA (1492 nucleotides) under Homo sapiens (human). Its description in RNAcentral is "HSALNT0116373". Lineage: Eukaryota; Metazoa; Chordata; Mammalia; Primates; Hominidae. The record is from RNAcentral.